RNAcentral lists this long non-coding RNA (913 nucleotides) under Rattus norvegicus (Norway rat). RNAcentral describes it as "long non-coding RNA NONRATT015278". Lineage: Eukaryota; Metazoa; Chordata; Mammalia; Rodentia; Muridae. The record is from RNAcentral.
CUUCCAGGCUAUGGGCCGGCCCGGCUGCAUUUACCUUUUGGCUUGGUUCACUGUUCACCAGCCACGCGGUCCAGGUCGCCGCCGGCUGCUUGCUAGCACCCCGGGCCGCCAGGGACAGCUAGAGCUCACUCGGAACCAAGCCUUUCUGCUGCUCCUGAGCUUCGACUUCCUCGCGCCCUGGAGCCCACUUCACUCAGCUCGCCGCCGCCCAGAGUUGCAAAGUGCGACGCGCACAGGAGCGCAGGUCCCUAGGGAGAUCCAGGAAUUUACCAAACCCAAAUGGCAGCAGGCCGCACCCGAGGUUUGGCGGGUUCCUUCUCCUUGUCUUGGAGAAGGAGCCACCAAGCGGAGAGCCUGAGCUAGGACCCCGUGUCUAGCGCGCUUCCUCUCGCCUCCGGUCCUACACUUGUGAUGUCCCCAGAUGUCUCUUUAGUUUCUCCAAGUGCCAACCACUUCACCGACUCAGGCAUCUUUGAGGGAAGAAACCCCCUUCCCAGCCCAGCCACUUAACGAGUGUCAUUAUGGUGCUACCUCUUACAGGUGGCAGCAAAGGACCACUUUAAAUAGCGGGUUAAAUGGCUACACAUGUACAGAAUGUACCAUGGAAUUACCCGGUGUCGGUCUGGCCUUCUGCCAAGAACAGUCAUCGUGGCGGGUAGGGCAGGAGGCCAUGGAUUGUGGAGUUGAAGAAUCUUGCCAGUCCUUAUUCAGAGUCUUUGAGAAGGCAUUUACUGUGCUUCAUCCCUUUCUGGUUUGAGCUAUGUGAUAUCUCCUCUCAUUUCCAGCCUCUUAUGUAUCAAUACCAUCCUCACACAUGAUGUUGAUACUCACGUGAUGAAGAAUAUCACAUGCUCAUCUCCUUCAGGUUCUACACAAUAAAAAUGCUGAAAACAGAAGGAAGAAGCAAAAAUAA